RNAcentral lists this transfer RNA (78 nucleotides) under Thermoproteota archaeon. RNAcentral describes it as "tRNA-Arg". It matches the Rfam family "tRNA". Rfam says of the family: Transfer RNA (tRNA) molecules are approximately 80 nucleotides in length. Their secondary structure includes four short double-helical elements and three loops (D, anti-codon, and T loops). Lineage: Archaea; Thermoproteati; Thermoproteota. The record is from RNAcentral.
GGGCCCGUAGCUCAGCAUGGAUAGAGCGCCGGCCUCCGGAGCCGGAGGUCGGGGGUUCGAGUCCCCCCGGGCCCGCCA